Molecule: non-coding RNA, 130 nt
Organism: Ignavibacteria bacterium 13_1_40CM_2_61_4
Lineage: Bacteria; Pseudomonadati; Ignavibacteriota; Ignavibacteria
Source: Rfam
CCCCUUCGAACGCCGAAUCCUCCCUUCGGGGGGAACGGGGGAACCAGGAUUUCGGGGCGAAGCGCGCCAGCGCCGGGGACCUUCACCCUCGAGCCCGUCAGCUAACCUCGCAGGCGAGGUGAGGGACGCG